Molecule: ribosomal RNA, 1227 nt
Filed under: Levilactobacillus brevis
Lineage: Bacteria; Bacillati; Bacillota; Bacilli; Lactobacillales; Lactobacillaceae
Description: bacterial SSU rRNA
Rfam family: Bacterial small subunit ribosomal RNA
Source: RNAcentral
UGCCUAUACAUGCAGUCGAACGAGCUUCCGUUGAAUGACGUGCUUGCACUGAUUUCAACAAUGAAGCGAGUGGCGAACUGGUGAGUAACACGUGGGAAAUCUGCCCAGAAGCAGGGGAUAACACUUGGAAACAGGUGCUAAUACCGUAUAACAACAAAAUCCGCAUGGAUUUUGUUUGAAAGGUGGCUUCGGCUAUCACUUCUGGAUGAUCCCGCGGCGUAUUAGUUAGUUGGUGAGGUAAAGGCCCACCAAGACGAUGAUACGUAGCCGACCUGAGAGGGUAAUCGGCCACAUUGGGACUGAGACACGGCCCAAACUCCUACGGGAGGCAGCAGUAGGGAAUCUUCCACAAUGGACGAAAGUCUGAUGGAGCAAUGCCGCGUGAGUGAAGAAGGGUUUCGGCUCGUAAAACUCUGUUGUUAAAGAAGAACACCUUUGAGAGUAACUGUUCAAGGGUUGACGGUAUUUAACCAGAAAGCCACGGCUAACUACGUGCCAGCAGCCGCGGUAAUACGUAGGUGGCAAGCGUUGUCCGGAUUUAUUGGGCGUAAAGCGAGCGCAGGCGGUUUUUUAAGUCUGAUGUGAAAGCCUUCGGCUUAACCGGAGAAGUGCAUCGGAAACUGGGAGACUUGAGUGCAGAAGAGGACAGUGGAACUCCAUGUGUAGCGGUGGAAUGCGUAGAUAUAUGGAAGAACACCAGUGGCGAAGGCGGCUGUCUAGUCUGUAACUGACGCUGAGGCUCGAAAGCAUGGGUAGCGAACAGGAUUAGAUACCCUGGUAGUCCAUGCCGUAAACGAUGAGUGCUAAGUGUUGGAGGGUUUCCGCCCUUCAGUGCUGCAGCUAACGCAUUAAGCACUCCGCCUGGGGAGUACGACCGCAAGGUUGAAACUCAAAGGAAUUGACGGGGGCCCGCACAAGCGGUGGAGCAUGUGGUUUAAUUCGAAGCUACGCGAAGAACCUUACCAGGUCUUGACAUCUUCUGCCAUCUUAGAGAUAAGACGUUCCCUUCGGGGACAGAAUGACAGGUGGUGCAUGGUUGUCGUCAGCUCGUGUCCUGAGAAGUUUGGGUUAAGUCCCGCAACGAGCGCAACCCUUAUUAUCAGUUGCCAGCAUUCAUUUGGGCACUCUGGUGAGACUGCCGUGACAACCCAAGAAGAGGGGGGGGGAGAAGCCAAACAAUAAGGGCCCUUAUAACCGGGGGUACACCCGGUCCAAUGGAAGGGACAC